UCCUGCGCAGACAAGCAACUCAUCCUCCUCUGUCGCAAUGACCCGAGCCCGCGGCCUGGGAGCUGCCCGUCGCCUCCGAGGUGCACAGACUUCUUUGACGGAAACGUUCCUACUUGCUACGUCGACAGCGACUGUCCUCGGAACGAGAAAUGUUGCGAGGACGCUUGCAAUGCUGGCAAGAUCUGUAUUUCGGUGUACGGUCUGGGACACUAGUUUUGUUGCAGCAUUGGUUGCAAGGGACUGUUUGUAGCAAUAAAGUGUACUGAAGUUUA
This is a long non-coding RNA of Penaeus chinensis, 272 nucleotides long. RefSeq lists it as uncharacterized. NCBI's taxonomy places the organism in Eukaryota, Metazoa, Arthropoda, Malacostraca, Decapoda, Penaeidae. The transcript has 3 exons. The record is from RefSeq and is a predicted model, not a curated record.